Molecule: ribosomal RNA, 142 nt
Filed under: uncultured eukaryote
Lineage: Eukaryota
Description: partial 18S ribosomal RNA
Rfam family: Eukaryotic small subunit ribosomal RNA
Source: RNAcentral
UGGUGGAGUGAUUUGUCUGGUUAAUUCCGUUAACGAACGAGACCUCGACCUGCUAAAUAGUUCGGCGAAUUCUUCGGGAUUCGUACGUGACUUCUUAGAGGGACUAUCGGUGGUUAGCCGAUGGAAGUUCGUGGCAAUAACA